RNAcentral lists this ribosomal RNA (464 nucleotides) under uncultured bacterium. RNAcentral's name for it is "bacterial SSU rRNA". It matches the Rfam family "Bacterial small subunit ribosomal RNA", at positions 338 to 795 of the family's 1533-position model. The record is from RNAcentral.
CCUACGGGGGGCACCAGUGGGGAAUAUUGCACAAUGGGCACAAGCCUGAUGCAGCCAUGCCGCGUGUAUGAAGAUGGCCUUCGGGUUGUAAAGUACUUUCAGCGGGGAGGAAGGUGUUGUGGUUAAUAACCGCAGCAAUUGACGUUACCCGCAGAAGAAGCACCGGCUAACUCCGUGCCAGCAGCCGCGGUAAUGCGGAGGGUGCAAGCGUUAAUCGGAAUUACUGGGCGUAAAGCGCACGCAGGCGGUCUGUCAAGUCGGAUGUGAAAUCCCCGGGCUCAACCUGGGAACUGCAUUCGAAACUGGCAGGCUAGAGUCUUGUAGAGGGGGUAGAAUUCCAGGUGUAGCGGUGAAAUGCGUAGAGAUCUGGAGGAAUACCGGCGGCGAAGGCGGCCCCCUGGACAAAGACUGACGCUCAGGUGCGAAAGCGUGGGGAGCAAACAGGAUUAGAUACCCUUGUAGUC